Peromyscus eremicus (cactus mouse) is the source of this 1074-nucleotide long non-coding RNA. RefSeq lists it as uncharacterized. Lineage: Eukaryota; Metazoa; Chordata; Mammalia; Rodentia; Cricetidae. The transcript is spliced from 3 exons. The record is from RefSeq and is a predicted model, not a curated record.
GAGGAAGUGCUCGGGAAGGGGUUCACUGAGGGCGUCUGAAAGCCAAGAGAGAGCAAACUGCCUCAGCACGAGGAGCCACACUAAGCAUGGCGGCCGCUGAGUGCCAAGCGGAGGGAGCGGAGCUUCCUGUGGCGGCUGAAGAACGUUGCGGGCUUUGCUCCUCACUUAUUGGUUGGUUUGAGGAAGCACGAGAAGGGCAACUGGUGGGAGUGGACAUCAGUCAGACGUUAGUCCCGCCUCCAGGAGCUUGACUCGCUGUUCCGCCGGGGAGCAGAGACCUUUCGGGACGCUGGUCUCUGAGUGACGUCACGGCGUCACCGUCACACCGUCGCAACGUGCAAACCGCUCCCCAGGGCGGAAGUUCUCAGCGCCGCCUCCAGGAUCCGGGCGGGAGCGAGCUGAGCCUUUUCUCAGCUCCGUGGCUGAAGAGCCAAUGAGCACCUGCCUCGGGGACCUUGGUUAGAUGACUCGGCCCAGACACCGCCUUGACUGUUAAGUGAGAUUUUUGUCACGCGCCUUGGGGUCAUUUCAAGGGCCCUGUCUUUUGUCAUCCUCACAGUUCAGUUUUCUCGGCCUUAGAAGAUCGCUUUUUGGUAAAAUGGGAGGGGAAAAAACCAUAAAAACAUAAACCUGGAUAGAGUCGAUGCAGACAUGUUCUCAGCCGAACACCUCUCAAUGCAGACCCUGUCGAGCAAUAGAAGCACUGCUGAGCUCUCCAGAAGGAGGUCCACUGAGCACAUCAUCUGGCUGAUAGCACUUACGGAACAUCACAGGGAAAGUGGCCCUUGCAGGACUAAAGUGAUUUCAGCAAACAGAAAAUGGGAUGACAGAAUAGCCCAGCCCAACAAAGUUACAAGGUCUGGCUGUCGAAUCUGUUUCCGGCAUUACCGGUGGCACAUUUACUGCAUGUGAUAACUCUUACUCGAAGAAGAGUGAAAGUAACAUAAAGAGGAAGUGGGGAGGAUUAGAAUUCUCAAGAAUGAAAGAUUGAAUCUAGGCCUUCACACAGCCUAAGCAAGAGCCAAACUGCUGAGGUACAACCCUGUUGUGGAAUAUACCUUUACACUGUGUGAA